Molecule: transfer RNA, 74 nt
Filed under: Dellaglioa algida
Lineage: Bacteria; Bacillati; Bacillota; Bacilli; Lactobacillales; Lactobacillaceae
Also listed under: 2 other names
Description: Lactobacillus algidus tRNA-Arg
Rfam family: tRNA
About the family: Transfer RNA (tRNA) molecules are approximately 80 nucleotides in length.
Source: RNAcentral
GACUUGGUAGCUCAGCUGGAUAGAGCAUCCGCCUUCUAAGCGGACGGUCGUGAGUUCGAAUCUCACCCAAGUCA